CCAAUAGCGUAUAUUAAAGUUGUUGCAGUUAAAAAGCUCGUAGUUGAAUUUCGGGGUCAGUAGGUUGGUCAUGCCUCCGGUAUGCACUGGUCUCACUGAUUCCUCCUUCCUGAUGAGCCGUAAUGCCAUUAUUUUGGUGUUGCGGGGAAUCUGGACUGUUACUUUGAAAAAAAUUAGAGUGUUUAAAGCAAGCUAACGCUUGAAUACAUUAGCAUGGAAAAAUGGAAUAGGACGUUCGAUCCUAUUUUGUUGGUUUCUAGGAUUGACGUAAUGAUUAAUAGGGAUAGUUGGGGGCAUUAGUAUUCAAUUGUCAGAGGUGAAAUUCUUGGAUUUAUUGAAGACUAACUACUGCGAAAGCAUUUGCCAAGGAUGUUUUCAUUAAUCAAGAACGAAAGUUAGGGGAUCGAAGACGAUCAGAUACCGUCGUAGUCUUAACCAUAAACUAUGCCGACUAGGGAUCGGAUGAUGUUAAUUUUUUAAUGACUCAUUCGGCGCCUUACG
Molecule: ribosomal RNA, 501 nt
Filed under: uncultured Glomeromycotina
Lineage: Eukaryota; Fungi; Glomeromycota
Description: partial small subunit ribosomal RNA
Rfam family: Eukaryotic small subunit ribosomal RNA
Source: RNAcentral